This 204-nucleotide long non-coding RNA is filed under the name Carica papaya (papaya). Its description in RNAcentral is "long non-coding RNA (CPAP_LNC011865)". The record is from RNAcentral. Lineage: Eukaryota; Viridiplantae; Streptophyta; Magnoliopsida; Brassicales; Caricaceae.
GGGGUCAUCUUUGCCUAAGUAUUGUCAUGGCUAUAGAAUAUCUGAUAGGACCACUGUGGUUGGUAUAGUUAUGGUCAUAUAUCUUACUAUGGUUUGGCAAGCUGAAAUGUGCCUGAGCAAAUUGCCGUUAUAUAUCUGAUUUCGUCAUACCACAUGGGUAGUCAGAAUGGGCAAUUGGGCAAUUGGGCAUGUUCUAGCACCUCU